Molecule: long non-coding RNA, 1173 nt
Organism: Musa acuminata AAA Group (dessert banana)
Lineage: Eukaryota; Viridiplantae; Streptophyta; Magnoliopsida; Zingiberales; Musaceae
Exons: 3
Source: RefSeq, a predicted model, not a curated record
CCCGCUGCUUCCGCUGCCGCGCUGUUGUCGGCGAUCUUCUUCGAGUCGCUUCUCUCCUCCAUGAUUAACGCCUAACAAACAAGAACAGGAGCAUAAUGACAUGAUCGAUCCACAUAGACGGAGAGCAAAGAAAUAAAAGAUCAGAUGGACAUAUUUGAUCAGCAAAUGAUACAUAAAAAAGGAGUAGCAAGCUGCAUGCAAGUUUUUUGUUUAGGUGAUAUGAUCAUGCUUGAGAAAAUUGGCCUUCAUGGGUUGAAUGUGAAGAUCAUCUCUGCAGGCGCCUGCAGAUGGUGAGCUCUUGUGAUAAGAUAGCAUUCUGAGAAGUGCCAUGGAAACACAUGCCACUACUGAACAAUCAAAUAGAGCUAUUUAAAGACUCGGGAAACACUGAAAAGGGGAUUUCUAUCCUUCUAUUGGAGCUUCUAGUGGUAUAUUAUUAGCUCGGUCUAUUAAUUUAGCAAAUGUUCAGGUGCUAUCUAAACACCCUUAUUUUAUUCAUGAAAGAACUCAAUUAAAUAAUGAUAAACCUUGGUUUAUGUUAGGUAUUAAUGCUAGUACUUCUGUUGUUUAUAAAAAUAAUGAAAUUCUCUUUCUGAUUUAAACUUCUUCGACAUUUCUUGGUGUAUUUUAGAAGAUUUCAAUUAUAUUUUAAAUUCACAUGAUAAAAUUGGUGAUAAAAUAUUUGUUAUUAACUGCUCUACUUGUGUUUUCCAUGAAUUUAUAAAAAAUUAUGAUUUAACUUAUUCUAGUUCUAAUUAUACAUACUGUAUUAAUCAUACUGGCUAUGCUAGAAUCUCUGUUAGAUUAGAUUGUGUCUUUGGUAAUUUUAUCGUAGAUGAAUAUUUAUGGCAAAUUUUCUGUUUAUCAUUUUUUGAGACUUCAUUCUGAUCAUGAUCAUGUUAAAUAUUAAGUCUACUUAGUUAAUUUGUAAUAAUUUUUUUUAUUAUUGAUGGGCGUAUUCGUAUAGUUUUGUCCUUUCGGAACAUGUGAGCUCCAAAAGGUGCCUCUGAAGGUAAGAGAGACCUGGCGGACUUAUGAGCCCUUGAUUCUCAUACUCCUCAACCAAUGUGGGACUAAAUGACUUUAUCAGUGCUCUCUCCCAUAGGGGAGCUAAGGGCUUAUAACCAAGGUGCACGACUCGGGAGCGAGUUUGCUUGGCCGAGGUGUAGGCCU